ACGAAGGGGGCUAGCGUUGUUCGGAAUUACUGGGCGUAAAGCGCACGUAGGCGGAUUUGUCAGUCAGGGGUGAAAUCCCGAGGCUCAACCUCGGAACUGCCUCCGAUACAGCAAGUCUCGAGUCCGGAAGAGGUGAGUGGAAUUCCUAGUGUAGAGGUGAAAUUCGUAGAUAUUAGGAAGAACACCAGUGGCGAAGGCGGCUCACUGGUCCGGUACUGACGCUGAGGUGCGAAAGCGUGGGGAGCAAACAGG
Molecule: ribosomal RNA, 252 nt
Filed under: uncultured bacterium
Lineage: Bacteria
Description: partial 16S ribosomal RNA
Rfam family: Bacterial small subunit ribosomal RNA
Source: RNAcentral